UAGGGAAUCUUCCGCAAUGGGCGAAAGCCUGACGGAGCAACGCCGCGUGAGUGAUGAAGGUCUUCGGAUCGUAAAACUCUGUUAUUAGGGAAGAACAAAUGUGUAAGUAACUAUGCACGUCUUGACGGUACCUAAUCAGAAAGCCACGGCUAACUACGUGCCAGCAGCCGCGGUAAUACGUAGGUGGCAAGCGUUAUCCGGAAUUAUUGGGCGUAAAGCGCGCGUAGGCGGUUUUUUAAGUCUGAUGUGAAAGCCCACGGCUCAACCGUGGAGGGUCAAUGGAAACUGGAAAACGUGAGUGCAGAAGAGUAAAGUGGAAUUCCAUGUGUAGCGGUGAAAUGCGCAGAGAUAUGGAGGAACACCAGUGGCGAAGGCGACUUUCUGGUCUGUAACUGACGCUGAUGUGCGAAAGCGUGGGGAUCAAACAGG
RNAcentral lists this ribosomal RNA (429 nucleotides) under Actinomycetes bacterium. RNAcentral's name for it is "Actinobacteria bacterium partial 16S ribosomal RNA". It matches the Rfam family "Bacterial small subunit ribosomal RNA", at positions 355 to 776 of the family's 1533-position model. The record is from RNAcentral. Lineage: Bacteria; Bacillati; Actinomycetota; Actinomycetes.